CUGCUCGCUUCGGAAGCACAUACAUUAAAAUGGAAACAAUACAAAGAAGGUGGGCAUCACUUCUGAGCAAGGAUGACAUGCAAAUUCAUGAAGCGUUCCAUAGUUUU
Suricata suricatta (meerkat) is the source of this 107-nucleotide small nuclear RNA. The record is from Ensembl. Lineage: Eukaryota; Metazoa; Chordata; Mammalia; Carnivora; Herpestidae.